GCUAUACAUGCAGUCGAGCGGACAGAUGGGAGCUUGCUCCCUGAUGUUAGCGGCGGACGGGUGAGUAACACGUGGGUAACCUGCCUGUAAGACUGGGAUAACUCCGGGAAACCGGGGCUAAUACCGGAUGGUUGUUUGAACCGCAUGGUUCAGACAUAAAAGGUGGCUUCGGCUACCACUUACAGAUGGACCCGCGGCGCAUUAGCUAGUUGGUGAGGUAACGGCUCACCAAGGCGACGAUGCGUAGCCGACCUGAGAGGGUGAUCGGCCACACUGGGACUGAGACACGGCCCAGACUCCUACGGGAGGCAGCAGUAGGGAAUCUUCCGCAAUGGACGAAAGUCUGACGGAGCAACGCCGCGUGAGUGAUGAAGGUUUUCGGAUCGUAAAGCUCUGUUGUUAGGGAAGAACAAGUGCCGUUCAAAUAGGGCGGCACCUUGACGGUACCUAACCAGAAAGCCACGGCUAACUACGUGCCAGCAGCCGCGGUAAUACGUAGGUGGCAAGCGUUGUCCGGAAUUAUUGGGCGUAAAGGGCUCGCAGGCGGUUUCUUAAGUCUGAUGUGAAAGCCCCCGGCUCAACCGGGGAGGGUCAUUGGAAACUGGGGAACUUGAGUGCAGAAGAGGAGAGUGGAAUUCCACGUGUAGCGGUGAAAUGCGUAGAGAUGUGGAGGAACACCAGUGGCGAAGGCGACUCUCUGGUCUGUAACUGACGCUGAGGAGCGAAAGCGUGGGGAGCGAACAGGAUUAGAUACCCUGGUAGUCCACGCCGUAAACGAUGAGUGCUAAGUGUUAGGGGGUUUCCGCCCCUUAGUGCUGCAGCUAACGCAUUAAGCACUCCGCCUGGGGAGUACGGUCGCAAGACUGAAACUCAAAGGAAUUGACGGGGGCCCGCACAAGCGGUGGAGCAUGUGGUUUAAUUCGAAGCAACGCGAAGAACCUUACCAGGUCUUGACAUCCUCUGACAAUCCUAGAGAUAGGACGUCCCCUUCGGGGGCAGAUUGACAGGUGGUGCAUGGUUGUCGUCAGCUCU
This 1032-nucleotide ribosomal RNA is filed under the name Bacillus vallismortis. Its description in RNAcentral is "bacterial SSU rRNA". It matches the Rfam family "Bacterial small subunit ribosomal RNA", at positions 48 to 1062 of the family's 1533-position model. Lineage: Bacteria; Bacillati; Bacillota; Bacilli; Caryophanales; Bacillaceae. The record is from RNAcentral.